This is a non-coding RNA of Podarcis lilfordi (Lilford's wall lizard), 72 nucleotides long. Lineage: Eukaryota; Metazoa; Chordata; Lepidosauria; Squamata; Lacertidae. The record is from the annotation of a GenBank genome assembly.
AGGGCUAUAGCUCAGUUUUAGAGCAUCUGCUUUGCAUGCAGAAGGUCUAAGUUCCAAAACCUGGAAGCUCUA